RNAcentral lists this RNase P RNA (330 nucleotides) under pig gut metagenome. Its description in RNAcentral is "Bacterial RNase P class B". It matches the Rfam family "Bacterial RNase P class B". From Rfam's summary of the family: Ribonuclease P (RNase P) is a ubiquitous endoribonuclease, found in archaea, bacteria and eukarya as well as chloroplasts and mitochondria. The record is from RNAcentral.
UGACAAACGCUGCAUUUAAUGUAGAGGAAAGUCCAUGCUCACACUAUCCUGAGAUGGUAGUAGUGUUCGUGUAAAGGGAAAAAAUAACCUUUAGUAGUGUAAACUAACGGCGUCGAAUUAACCUAAGUCUUUGAUAUGGUUAUAUUAGACAUAAAGUGCCAAAGUGACGAUGCUAUAUAGAAAUAUGUAGAGUGGAACGUGGUAAACCCCGCGAGUGAGAAACCCAAAUUAUGGUAGGGGAACUUGAUGAAGAGAAAUGAAUCUGAUUCGGGAUCAAUAUUGAUAGAUAAAUGUUUGUCGCUCAUAUGAGUUACAGAACAUGGCUUAUAA